This is a non-coding RNA of Pan troglodytes (chimpanzee), 117 nucleotides long. It matches the Rfam family "Metazoan signal recognition particle RNA". Rfam says of the family: The signal recognition particle (SRP) is a universally conserved ribonucleoprotein. The record is from Rfam. Lineage: Eukaryota; Metazoa; Chordata; Mammalia; Primates; Hominidae.
GCUGGGUGUGAUGGCUCACACCUGUAAUCCCAGCACUUUGGGAGGCUGAGACAGGUGGAUCACUUGAGCCCAGGAGUUUAAGACCAGCCUGGGCAACAUGGUGAAACCCCGUCUCUA